This is a non-coding RNA of Rhodanobacter sp. FW510-R10, 59 nucleotides long. The record is from Rfam. NCBI's taxonomy places the organism in Bacteria, Pseudomonadati, Pseudomonadota, Gammaproteobacteria, Lysobacterales, Rhodanobacteraceae.
GUUGGUAGAGCACGACCUUGCCAAGGUCGGGGUCGCGAGUUCGAGUCUCGUUUCCCGCU